GAUGAACGCUGGCGGCGUGCCUAAUACAUGCAAGUCGAGCGAACGGACGAGAAGCUUGCUUCUCUGAUGUUAGCGGCGGACGGGUGAGUAACACGUGGAUAACCUACCUAUAAGACUGGGAUAACUUCGGGAAACCGGAGCUAAUACCGGAUAAUCUUUUGAACCGCAUGGUUCAAAAGUGAAAUACGGUGUUGCUGUCACUUAUAGAUGGAUCCGCGCUGCAUUAGCUAGUUGUUAAGGUAACGGCUUACCAAGGCGACGAUGCAUAGCCGACCUGAGAGAGUGAUCGGCCACCCUGGAACUGAGCCAGGGUCCAGGCUCCUACGGGAGGCAGCAGUAGGGAAUCUUCCGCAAUGGGCGGAAGCCUGACGGAGCAACGCCGCGUGAGUGAUGAAGGUCUUCGGAUCGUAAAACCCUGUUAUUAGGGAAGAACAUAUGUGUAAGUAACUGUGCACAUCUUGACGGUACCUAAUCAGAAAGCCACGGCUAACUACGUG
This 497-nucleotide ribosomal RNA is filed under the name uncultured bacterium. RNAcentral describes it as "partial 16S ribosomal RNA". It matches the Rfam family "Bacterial small subunit ribosomal RNA", at positions 28 to 507 of the family's 1533-position model. The record is from RNAcentral.